This 243-nucleotide long non-coding RNA is filed under the name Carica papaya (papaya). Its description in RNAcentral is "long non-coding RNA (CPAP_LNC003552)". The record is from RNAcentral. Lineage: Eukaryota; Viridiplantae; Streptophyta; Magnoliopsida; Brassicales; Caricaceae.
AAAGAAGCUAUAGGAACUAAGAAAUUGAAUAACAGAUAUUGUGGAUAAUUGAGAAAUUUUCAUUUAACCCAAGUAGAUAGAUGACUUCCUACGUUAUAUGUAACAGCACUUGGAAGAUGAUAAAAAAGUGAUAGAAACUAAGAGGUCUUUCCUGUUUUUAGCUUGUCUAGUUUUUUUGUUUUUGUAGUAUAAAUGAUUGUACUUUCUUUUUAGUUCUUCGUUGAUCUUCUUUAAGCAAUCAGG